GUGGUUGUGGCUUAGUGGUAGAGCGCUUGCCUAGCAUGUGUGAAGCACUGGGUUCAAUUCUCAGCACCACA
This 71-nucleotide transfer RNA is filed under the name Ictidomys tridecemlineatus (thirteen-lined ground squirrel). Its description in RNAcentral is "Spermophilus tridecemlineatus (thirteen-lined ground squirrel) tRNA". It matches the Rfam family "tRNA". From Rfam's summary of the family: Transfer RNA (tRNA) molecules are approximately 80 nucleotides in length. Their secondary structure includes four short double-helical elements and three loops (D, anti-codon, and T loops). Further hydrogen bonds mediate the characteristic L-shaped molecular structure. tRNAs have two regions of fundamental functional importance: the anti-codon, which is responsible for specific mRNA codon recognition, and the 3' end, to which the tRNAs corresponding amino acid is attached (by aminoacyl-tRNA synthetases). tRNAs cope with the degeneracy of the genetic code in two manners: having more than one tRNA (with a specific anti-codon) for a particular amino acid; and 'wobble' base-pairing, i.e. permitting non-standard base-pairing at the 3rd anti-codon position. Lineage: Eukaryota; Metazoa; Chordata; Mammalia; Rodentia; Sciuridae. The record is from Rfam by way of RNAcentral. RNAcentral also lists the same sequence under 1 other name.